GAUGCCAUCUGGAGAAUUUGUUGAUUUCUCAGAGCCGUAUUUUAAAAGUUUGUGGAUAAAGAGCCACAAGGUCAGACAAGGGCAUCGGAGAGGGAGGAAGCACCUAGAAAUCUGUUAUUUGAGAAACAGAAGAUGUGGGAGAUUCUUGGAAACGAUCAUCAGACCUGUGUUUGAGGGUUUGAAGAGUUGCGGGAUGGGAGAAUGGCUUGGGCUGGUCCUGUAUUGUUCCAGAAGGUAGAAUCUGAACCUUAGAAAGGAAAGUUGUAAGGACAGAGGCAUUGGCUCUGUUUAAGAAAGAACUUUCCAUUUGAUUCCUUCUUCCAAGGAGGCUGGGAGUUGAGUCCUCUGGGUAUGUCCGAGGCAGGGCCCAUUUGCUGUGGCAGUCUGGGGCAGAGACAGCCACUGGGGCAGAGCCACGCCAAGUCUGCAAGAGAGAACAGUGUCCAGGCCACAGGCGGGAGUGGAGAAGCAAACGGGAGAGGGGCCAAGCCUCAGGAGCCAGGCAGAGAUAGACGGGAAGCUAGCAGCAUUGGCGCAGCCUCAGCUGGCCGUGACCCAUCAGCGGCUUUAUGGAAUAUGUGCAGAGCCAUUAUCUUAAAGAAUCCAAGUUAUAAGAGAGGCCAUGAGCUGGUCUCUGGCAAAGUCAUCGGGUCAGGAAAUGCUCUGAGCCUGGAGGUGUUCAGCAAAUGCCUGGUGACCAUCCAUAUUUUCAUGGGUUCAAUUCUUUUCAUAUUUAAUCAAAAUACACAUAACAUAAAAUUCACCAUCUUGGAUUUUCUUAUGCUGUGCCCUUUGAAAGUGUACAUUUCAGGAGUAUGAAGUCCAUUCACAUGGUAGCCCCGCCACCAUCUGUCUCCACAUCUCUUAUCUUGCACACCUGAAACACUAACCCAUUAAACAAAAACUCCCCACCCCCCUCUUCCCCGUCCCUGGCAACCACCAUUCAACUUUCUGUCUCUAGGAUUUGACUCCUCUAGGUAGUCCUGUAAGCAGAAUCACACAGUGUUUGUCUUUUUGUGUCGGGCUUAUUUCCCUUGGCAUGAUGCCUUCAAGGUUCAUCCACGUUGUAGCAGGUGUCAGAAUUUCCUUCCUUCUUACACCUGGAUAACAUUGUUCACACAUUUUUGUUUACUCAUUUAUUCAUCAGUGGAUACCUGAAUCCAUUGGAUUGGAUUGAUUGAUCCAUAGUCGGAUCAGUUUUGUACCAGGCUCUCUGGUACGCACUGAAAUUAGUUAAUACAAUGACUAUGACUUUCGAGGACCUCACAGGCUCCGUGGCUGUACGGUUGGAGGCAGGGCUGGGGAAGGGGAGUGAGAAAGUGGCAGAUCUGUAAAUCCCCUUUUUUUUUUUUUUUGCUUUUUAGGGUCACACUUGCAGCAUAUGGAUGUUCCCAGGCUAGGAGUCGAAUCACAGCUACAGCUGCCAGCCUACACAAAAGCCACAGCAACCCGGGAUUAGAGCCGUGUCUGUAACCUACACCAUAGCUCUCAGCAUUGCUGGAACCCCCACCCACCAAGUGAGGCCGGGGAUCGAACUUGCAUCCUCAUGGAUACUAGCUGGAGUCGUUUCUGCUGCGCCACAACAGGACCUCCUGUAAACCCAUUUUAAUAACACCUUUUGAAUGAUAAUAUGAUAUAAAGCGUGUACUGGAUGUAGUGGGUACACAGUGAAGGAAUACAUCGGCUCUGGGGGUGGUGGGAAGGGAGGAACAGACUGUUUCUGGAAGAAGGCAAUGUCUGAGCUGAGAUCAAAACUGCUAGACAACCUUUUGUGAAAAACUUCAACCUGGACAAUUGCAUCUAACUCCUUGGGACAGCUUUCAAAAAAUACCGAUCCCAGGAGUUUCUCCUGUGGCACAACAGGAUCAGUGGCAUCUUGGGAGCACUGGGGUGAGGGUUCAAUCCCCUGCCUGGUAUGGUGAGUUAAGGAUCCAUCAUUGCUGCAGCUUCGACUUGGGUCAUGUCUGCAGCUCAGACUUGAUCCCUGGCCUGGGAGCUCCAUAGGCUGCGGGGUGGCCAAAAAUGAAAAAAUAAAAUAAAAUACUGACCCCAGUUCCUGAGCCCAGAUAUUCUGAUUCAAUGACUCUAAGAUGAAGGGCAGGAGCCUUUUUUAAAUAGCCCCUUCUGGUGAUUUUGAUGUUCCAGUCACGUUGGAAGGCACUCGGGAAACACUGCAUUCAUUAGGUCAGGGUUACAUUUUAUUUAAUUAAAUUAAUUAGUUUAUUCCUUUUUCGGCCAUACCUGCAGCAUAUGGAAGUUCCCAGGCCAGGGACUGAAUCCAAGACACAGCUGCGACCUAUGCCACAGCUGUGGCAACACUGGAUCCUUAACCCACUGCUCCACCACAGAGACAACGCCAGAUUCUUAACCCAGUGCCCUGAAGCAGGAACUCCCAGGUUUACAAUUUAGAUAAACCUCUCUGACCUCACUGUGGAGGAGGCAAGGAUAAGCGUUUAAAAAAACCCAAGGUAGAGAAACUAGUUCCAGACCGUGAGUACAACUAUCUCACGGACCAGAGAUGCUGAAGAUGGUCACGUGUGAUGUAUUCAUCCGCCCAUCCAUUCAUUCAAAUACUGUUUGGUGCCCAUCUACCUGCAGGAGACUCUGCUGAAAACGCCUUCCAUUUCUAAGAUCCUGUAUCCUAUUAACCAUAUUUAAAGAUGCUUUAGGAAGUUCCCGUGUGGCGUAGCGGUUUAAGGAUUAGACGUUGCCGACGCUGUGGUGCAGGUUGCCACUGCGGCUUGGAUUCAAUCCCUGGCCUGGGAAAUUUCACAUGCUGUGGGAGUGGCCAGAAAUAAAUAAAUGAGUACACGAAUGAAGAAAGAAAGAAAGAUGCCUUGACCAAUAAAAUGUGGCAGAAAUAAGGUGGUUUGAGUUCUGAACCUAAGGCAUAAAAGUCCUUGCAGCUUCCUCUCUUGCUCCUCUCAGAACCCUGUUGCUACAUCAACAAACCUAGACUAACCUGCUCGAGAAGGACCAACCGCGUAAGACAGAGAUAAGCCAUUCAGCUGACCUGAAAAGUAUAUAAGUGAACCCAAAGGAGAUCAGAGGAAAACUGCCUACCUGAUUCCAGCCAAAUGGCCAAUCCACAGAAUUAUAGGCUACAUGGUGGGUUUUUUUUUUUUUUUUUUUUAAGCCGCUAAGUUUUGGGGUGCUUUGUUAUGCUGCAAAAUCUAACUGAUACACUCUCCUUGGCUUUUAUGUUUUUUAUACAUGCUAUUCCCUCUAUCUUUGUCUCAAUUCCUACUUAUCAUGGCUCAGGAAAAAUUUCCCUGAUCUUUAUUAAGUUAGAUCUCUUCACAUUAAGUUAACAUUGCACUUUUUUGCCCCUCUGCCAGCACUGUAAUAGCUCUGUAAUUUUACAUUUAUCUGUUUAUAUUAUUUGAGUAUGGUCUUUCUCACCUACUAGACCAUAAACUUUGUGAAUCCAGAGACACUGUCUAUAACAUUCCAGCACCUAGUAUAUUUCCCAGCAGAUAGAAGGUGCUCAAUAAAGAUUUGUUGAAUGAAAGACUAUGUUAUACCCCUGGAGGAAACAAGCCUUUGGGGGUUCUUUAAAAUAAUAACCCUCACAUCAGCUCUACUCCUCCCACCAGCCUAGGAACUAAAAACUAGGCAAGUCACUGUAUAAGAAUGUGUCUUAUAAUUUUCAAAGGACUGUUCAAAUGCUAGCUUUUAAUUGUUAGUGGUAUUAUUCUGGGGUGGCAACUGCUGGCUUUGGGGGAAUCCUCUAGCUUUCUCAUUCUCCUAAAAUGGCUCCAGGCAGUCUCUUGUCAGCUACAGUUGUGGCUGGAUAAGCAAUUUACAGGCUGAAAAUCUUGCCUGGAGUUAAAACCUGGAUAUGUAAAUAUCUCUGUAGCUACUACUUUGCAAAUAAUCUCCUGGCUAGUUAAUUGCAGAACUUGGUGGUAAAGAUACCAAUGCUGAGUUCAAUUAAGGACUAUUUACAAAACCAACAGAAGAUUAUUCUGCUUUUUCUGAAACAAUAUGCAUGACUAGAGGGACCUCGUAUUUUACUGUAUAAAUCUAUGGCCCAGACAACACCAUAAACUCUGUAAGUUUGGAGUUUGCAAAACCCAUACCCUAUUUUGAUCCCCCGGAGCUCAGUUUGCAGAAAGAAAGCACAAGGCUAAUUAGUGAAUCAUUCCAAAGACAGAUCCUGUGUGCAACUUUUCUGAGGCUCAGUUUCUUCAUCUGUAAAAUGUACGUAUGAAUAUUCUUACCUCUUAAAUUUAUAUUGAGAUUAAAUGAGCUAAGCAUUGGAAAGUACCAUCAGAACCAAGAGAACAGUGCCAGGCGUAGAGUCAGCACUCGGUACCUUUUAACUAUCACUGGGUAUCAUUAUCACCAUUAAUGCAAUUCACACGCCGGGUUGCUUCCUGGACAACCUACCAGCCUGAGAAGCCUGCUCAGAAAUCCUCCCUGCCCGAUUUUGCUUACUCAGGAAAUGAGUGGGUUUCCUCACAUAGCUGAUGAGUGGUGGUGGUUCAUAAAGUAUACAAGCCUUCGUUCACCAGCCAUGGAUUGAGCACACACUGUGUAUGGUGCUCAGUGUAUUGAGGCGAAUGAGAGAGUCCCUGCCCAGGAACUACAGGGGAGAGAUGAGUUCACCACAGUAAAGCCUCCAUCAGCAUUGAUCCCCGGGUGCUAUGAGAACAUCGACAGGGGCCAACUGCAGCCCAAAAGGUCAGGGAAGGCUUGCUCUGGGCCACCUGGGGUUUCCACAUGGAGAAGAGGGUAAAGCCCUUAUUAAUUUCAUGCAGAAUAGAACAGGACCUUCCUUCCUCCCUAAGAGAUGGUUGCAAUGACCUCUUUGUCAACCCUUUUAUCACAAACUCCAUUAUAGCUGGAAAUGAAGCUUUUAAAAUUAAUAAUCCAAGGACGGAAGGCAUUUUCUCUGAUGCUCAGCAUCUCUGGAGGAAAUGCCAUCAGGUGUUCAUCUCACAUGACACUUUCAGGACCCCCUUUUGUAAAAGGGGGUUUUGUAACAGUGUGAUGAAGAGUUCACAUUGUGGUUUAUUGGGUUAAGAACCCAGCUAGUAUCCAUGAGGAUGUGGGUUCAAUCCCUGGCCUCAUUCAGUGGGUUAAGGAUCCGGCAUGGCCACGUAGGUCACAGAUGCAGUUUGGAUCUGGCAUUGCUCUGGCUGUGGCGUAGGUUGGCAGCUGCAGCUCCAGUUCAACCCCUAGCCCAGGAACUUCCAUAUGCUGCAGGUGCGGCUCUAAAAAGAAAAAAACAAAAA
RNAcentral lists this long non-coding RNA (5240 nucleotides) under Sus scrofa (pig). Its description in RNAcentral is "lncRNA (ENSSSCG00025043399.1)". The record is from RNAcentral. Lineage: Eukaryota; Metazoa; Chordata; Mammalia; Artiodactyla; Suidae.